UUUCCUCCACCUCCUCCACGAGCUCUGGAAAACUGGAUCACCAGCAAAAUUGUUCUCCAGACUCUCUCAGGAUCUUUUUUAGAACGAGUUCUCCCUAGUCCUUUCUGUUUUUUCUUCUCCUUUUUGCUUUUUUUUUUUCCCUCUCUUUUCAGCCUACCCUCACCCCCUCUAUAUCAUGUUAUUCAUUUUGAUCCUUCUGCUCAGGUUUGAAAGCAUCUCUCCGCACCGUCAU
This 232-nucleotide long non-coding RNA is filed under the name Struthio camelus australis. RNAcentral's name for it is "lncRNA (ENSSCUG00000000451.1)". Lineage: Eukaryota; Metazoa; Chordata; Aves; Struthioniformes; Struthionidae. The record is from RNAcentral.